UGAGGUCAUCGCCCUCCGCCUUCGGGAGCCGACCGACCCUCGUCGUCAGGGGCGGGGCCUGCGGCAGCGCUCCAGGCUCCUUCUGCCCCGCCCCACCCGCGCCUCCCCGAGGACCGUCCAGCGCGUCACGUGACGGGUCGGCGGCGCUGGCGGUUGCUGUCAGCUGAUUCCGUGGCUUGGUGGCAGCGGCAGCCGCGGCAAUGGACUUUCUCCUGGGGAACCCGUUCAGCUCUCCGGUGGGACAGCGCAUCGAGAAAGCUACAGAUGGCUCCCUGCAGAGCGAGGACUGGGCGCUCAACAUGGAGAUUUGCGACAUCAUCAACGAGACCGAGGAGGGCCCCAAGGAUGCCUUCCGAGCAGUGAAGAAGAGAAUCGUGGGGAAUAAGAACUUCCACGAGGUGAUGUUGGCCCUCACGGUCUUGGAAACCUGCGUCAAGAACUGCGGGCACCGCUUCCAUGUGCUCGUGGCCAGCCAGGACUUCGUGGAGGGCGUGCUGGUGAGGACCAUCCUGCCCAAGAACAACCCGCCCACCAUCGUGCACGACAAGGUGCUCAACCUCAUCCAGUCCUGGGCUGACGCGUUCCGCAGCUCGCCUGACUUGACAGGUGUGGUGGCCGUCUAUGAGGACCUGCGCAGGAAGGGCCUGGAGUUCCCCAUGACCGACCUGGACAUGCUGUCACCCAUCCACACACCCCAGAGGACCGUGUUCAACUCAGAGACACCAUCAGGACAGAAUUCUGCGGGCACCGACGCCAGUCAUCGAGGGGACUCCAGCCAGCACACCGUCCCUCUGCCCACCUCAGCCCUGCUCCCCAGCGACACACCCAUAGCGCCCACCCCUGAGCAGAUCGGGAAGCUGCGCAGCGAGCUGGAGAUGGUGAACGGGAACGUCAGGGUGAUGUCGGAGAUGCUGACGGAGCUGGUCCCCAACCAGGCAGAGCCUGCGGACCUGGAGCUGCUACAGGAGCUCAACCGGACAUGCCGGGCCAUGCAGCAGCGGGUCCUAGAGCUCAUCCCGCGCAUCGCCAACGAGCAGCUGACCGAGGAGCUGCUCAUCGUCAACGACAAUCUCAACAACGUGUUCCUGCGCCAUGAACGGUUUGAACGGUUCCGCACAGGCCAGAGCACCAAGGCCCCAGGCGAGGCCGAGCCCGAGGCAGCAGCUGACCUGAUCGACAUGGGCCCCGACCCAGCGGCCAAUGGCAGCCUCUCGUCCCAGCUGGCGGGAAUGAACCUGGGCUCCAGCAGCGUGAGGGCUGGCCUGCAGUCUCUGGAGGCCUCUGGCCGACUGGAAGACGAAUUUGACAUGUUCGCAUUGACGCGGGGCAGCUCGCUGGCAGACCAGCGCAAAGAGGUAAAAUAUGAAGCCCCCCAAGCAACAGACGGCCUGGCUGGAGCCCUGGAUGCCCGGCAGCAGAGCACUGGCGCGAUGGGAGGCGGCAGUGAGAAGAGCCUCAGUGACUGGAUGGUGAGACAAGGCAUGGUGAGAGGGGCUGGGCACCCGCGCAGGGCCACCCCGGCAGUGCUAUCCAUCAGACCCGAGGAGAGCGAGGGGCAUCAGGGCGCCCAGCCCCGCUCCCCGGCCCUUGCUUCCACAGCCGUGCAGCUCUGGCAGCUGGGAGGUGACCGGGGCUGGCCUGGAUCUGGGCUGAGUGUCCGCAUAGGGAGCUGGGCAGCGCUGGGAACUUGCUGCUGGUGCUGCUGGGGAAUCAGCUCCUGCCUCUUCUCUGGGCGCUCCUGCCGCCCGCCGGGGUCCUCGCUGCCUGCCGAGGACAGAGCUUGGGGACUGACCUGGCUUUGGUUGGAGAAGGACUCAUUCUCCCUCUGUUUCCCAAAGUAGCUAAGUGGUAACUGGCGUUUCCUGGGCAUCUAAGCUGUGCCAGGCGCUGUGCUAAGCUCUCUGCCUCCCUCAUCUCCUUUAAUCCUCACAGCAGCCUGAACGGUAGGUAGCAUCACCCGUUGCAGUGAGCGAGGCGAGGGUUCGGGGAGUUUAGCAACCUGCGCAAAGUCGCAGGCCAGCACUGGGCCAGCUUUCUGACCCCGGAGUCUGUGCCCAGAGCCUCCAGCAGGAUUCUCCCACUCAAGAUGCAUCUCGAGACCCCAGCCCUGCCCCAGUCCAACCCUCAGCCUCGGUGGCAGAACUCGUAUCUUUUUUACCCCCGGUGAAAUGUACCCGCAGAGCCGCAGCCCCCUGGACCCACCAGGCUGGUGGUCCCGGCACCUCCCUCAGCUCCAGCCCAUCUCUGCCCCUUCCCACCAUAAACUCUUGAGUCUGCAGGGGUGCAGUGGGCUCUGUAGUCGACCCCCUGCCCCAGCCUUGCCAGCUGGCCGCUCCCUGGGCCUUGAGUGUUACUGUGUCAGGGGCUCCUGAGCGCCCGCGAGGGAGCUCGGAGGCAGGUGACUGCGCGGGGCCUCAGCCGGUGGGCCCUGGGCUGGUGGGGCCUCCCUCUGGUCCAGUGCACUGUUCCCCCCCCCAGAUCCCUGUCACCCAGGCCUGCCUCAUGGAGGACAUCGAGCAGUGGCUGUCCACGGACGUGGGCAACGAUGCCGAGGAGCCCAAGGGCGUCACCAGUGAAG
Molecule: RNA transcript, 2578 nt
Organism: Phacochoerus africanus (Common warthog)
Lineage: Eukaryota; Metazoa; Chordata; Mammalia; Artiodactyla; Suidae
Gene: TOM1
Gene name: target of myb1 membrane trafficking protein
Exons: 14
Source: RefSeq, a predicted model, not a curated record